CUCUGUAAGUUGCCAUGCCAAAUGCCAAAUCGUUAUUAAUUAGCUUUGAUAUCUUGGUUUUGUUAUUUUGACUGGAUUUGAUACGCAGUCAUCCGAGGACGAUGGGCAAGGUGGGAGAAGGAAGAAAGGGAUGAAGGAGAAGAUAAAAGAGAGGAUACCGGGCAUGGGACGCAAGGACGAGCAGAAGCAUACGAGCGCCACAAGUACGCCGGGGCAGGGGCAGCAACAGAAAGGAAUGAUGGAGAAGAUCAAGGAGAAGCUGCCUGGGGGCCACUAGGUGUGUCUGGAAAUGAAGGGGACGUGGUCUAAUCGUUUGUAACUGAAACGAGAGUCUAGGUCCAUAGGUCAUAGGUGAAUGGGUGAUGCAUAAGCGUUUGGUUAUGAACCAGACGAGUCUAAAUUGAGUUAAUAAAUUGCUGGACUGCUGCUAUAUGCAGCCCGGCAUCUGCUUUCUGCUUUCUCAAUGUAGUCCCUGUAUGCCUGUCCUCUUCGUAUAUUAGUAGCUGAGUGCUUAUUAAUGCUACACUUAUGUUGUCAUUUUUCAUAAACUAGAUUUUGUUUUGGUGUUACCACCCCCAAUCUGACUUCAUGCUUAAGCGCAAGUUUAUCGUGCUUUAAUUUGAU
This 624-nucleotide long non-coding RNA is filed under the name Vitis vinifera (wine grape). RNAcentral describes it as "long non-coding RNA (VVIN_LNC001181)". The record is from RNAcentral. Lineage: Eukaryota; Viridiplantae; Streptophyta; Magnoliopsida; Vitales; Vitaceae.